Paramuricea clavata is the source of this 406-nucleotide non-coding RNA. The record is from the annotation of a GenBank genome assembly. NCBI's taxonomy places the organism in Eukaryota, Metazoa, Cnidaria, Anthozoa, Malacalcyonacea, Plexauridae.
CAGUUAACAGACAACGUUCUAAGCAUAUUGACAUAAAGUACCACUUUGUACGUGAAAUGUAUGUUAAAGGCAUGAUCGAUAUUGUAUAUUGUCCUACCCAAGAUAUGGUAGCUGAUAUCCUAACAAAGCCACCCACAAAAUGUAAACUAGAUAAUUUUAAAAGUAUCGUGUUCGGUUGUGGUAAUUAGUUUAUAUUCUGAUAACAAGUGAGGGUGUUGAGUUCAAUAUAAAACUGUAUGUUAUCCAAAUAUUAAGUAUGACGUAAUACUGAGAGACAAAUGCAUGAUGGGAUUGUUGUGUUGUUAGUUGAACUUCCUCGUGAAAGUAACUUGCUGUACAAAACUACAUUUGUAAUAAACGUGAAAAUAAAGAGUGAUUUCAUUACAAAUACGGUGUUCUAAAGUCA